Long non-coding RNA from Leopardus geoffroyi (Geoffroy's cat), 326 nucleotides. RefSeq lists it as uncharacterized. The transcript has 2 exons. NCBI's taxonomy places the organism in Eukaryota, Metazoa, Chordata, Mammalia, Carnivora, Felidae. The record is from RefSeq and is a predicted model, not a curated record.
UCCAGGAGAAAAAAAAAAAAAAAACAAAAAAAAAACGAGCUGAAGACAGCCUUCAUUCCAAGAGUAUUUUGGGCCACUGAUUUUUAUCACCCAGAAAUCAAUCAGAAGGGCACACAAUGCCUAGAAAUCCCAAACCAGCUACUACAUCUAAGAGGUUCAUGAAUGAAGGCCACGGUGUUUGUGAAUACAAGAGAAGAGAGGAAAUGUGUCUCGCUAGCAAAAUUCAAAGGAGAUGCCCAUCAAGAAGAAAACAAAAGCUUUCCUCUGACACCAUCUGGCAUAAGAAAGGUCUGAGUUAAUAGUAAAAUAGGAUCUUGUGCAUUUUA